GUGCUCGCUUCGGCAGCACAUAUACUAAAAUUGGGACGAUACAGAGAAGAUUAGCAUGGCCCCUGCACAAGGAUGACACACAAAUUCGUGAAGCAUUCCAUAUUUUU
This 107-nucleotide small nuclear RNA is filed under the name Urocitellus parryii (Arctic ground squirrel). Lineage: Eukaryota; Metazoa; Chordata; Mammalia; Rodentia; Sciuridae. The record is from RNAcentral.